AACGAACGCUGGCGGCAUGCCUAACACAUGCAAGUCGAACGAUCCCUUCGGGGAUAGUGGCGCACAGGUGCGUAACGCGUGGGAACCUGCCCUUAGGUUCGGGAUAACUCAGAGAAAUUUGAGCUAAUACCGGAUAAUGUCUUCGGACCAAAGAUUUAUCGCCUUUGGAUGGGCCCGCGUUGGAUUAGCUAGUUGGUGGGGUAAAGGCCUACCAAGGCGACGAUCCAUAGCUGGUCUGAGAGGAUGAUCAGCCACACUGGGACUGAGACACGGCCCAGACUCCUACGGGAGGCAGCAGUGGGGAAUAUUGGACAAUGGGCGAAAGCCUGAUCCAGCAAUGCCGCGUGAGUGAUGAAGGCCUUAGGGUUGUAAAGCUCUUUUACCCGGGAUGAUAAUGACAGUACCGGGAGAAUAAGCCCCGGCUAACUCCGUG
This 433-nucleotide ribosomal RNA is filed under the name uncultured bacterium. RNAcentral's name for it is "partial 16S ribosomal RNA". It matches the Rfam family "Bacterial small subunit ribosomal RNA", at positions 29 to 507 of the family's 1533-position model. The record is from RNAcentral.